Non-coding RNA from Stegodyphus mimosarum, 73 nucleotides. The record is from Rfam. NCBI's taxonomy places the organism in Eukaryota, Metazoa, Arthropoda, Arachnida, Araneae, Eresidae.
GCCUUCGUGGUGUAGUGGUCAGCCCGCUCGACACAUAACCGAGAGGUCCGUGGUUCGAUUCCCGGCGAAGGCG